Non-coding RNA from Potamilus streckersoni, 89 nucleotides. NCBI's taxonomy places the organism in Eukaryota, Metazoa, Mollusca, Bivalvia, Unionida, Unionidae. The record is from the annotation of a GenBank genome assembly.
GCUGCAACAGCUCAGUUGGUAAAGCAUUGGACUUGUACUUCAAGGAUUGCAGGUUUGAUAUAUACCUAGGCCAGUUCUGGUUUGCUGCA